UACGGAGGGCGCAAGCGUUAUCCGGAUUCACUGGGCUUAAAGGGUGCGUAGGUGGGCAGGUAAGUCAGUGGUGAAAUCCCCGAGCUUAACUUGGGAACUGCCAUUGAUACUAUUUGUCUUGAAUACUGUGGAGGUUAGCGGAAUAUGUCAUGUAGCGGUGAAAUGCUUAGAUAUGACAUAGAACACCAAUUGCGAAGGCAGCUGGCUACACAAAUAUUGACACUGAUGCACGAAAGCGUGGGGAUCAAACAGG
RNAcentral lists this ribosomal RNA (253 nucleotides) under uncultured bacterium. Its description in RNAcentral is "partial 16S ribosomal RNA". It matches the Rfam family "Bacterial small subunit ribosomal RNA", at positions 524 to 776 of the family's 1533-position model. The record is from RNAcentral.